Molecule: ribosomal RNA, 483 nt
Filed under: uncultured bacterium
Lineage: Bacteria
Description: bacterial SSU rRNA
Rfam family: Bacterial small subunit ribosomal RNA
Source: RNAcentral
GACGAACGGCUGGCGGCGUGCCUAACACAUGCAAGUCGAGCGGAGUCGAUCGACGGAAGCCUUCGGGCGGAAGAUGGUUGACUUAGCGGCGGAUGGGUGAGUAACGCGUGGGCAACCUGCCUCGAAGACCGGGAUAACAGUCCGAAAGGGCUGCUAAUACCGGAUGUGGUCAAGGAUCCGCAUGGAUUUUGAUUAAAGGGGAAACCCGUUUCGAGAUGGGCCCGCGUCCUAUCAGCUAGUUGGUGAGGUAAAAGCUCACCAAGGCGACGACGGGUAGCCGGCCUGAGAGGGUGACCGGCCACACUGGAACUGAGACACGGUCCAGACUCCUACGGGGGGCAGCAGUGGGGAAUCUUCCACAAUGGGCGAAAGCCUGAUGGAGCGACGCCGCGUGAGCGAAGAAGGCCUUCGGGUUGUAAAGCUCUGUCUGGAGGGACGAAGGAAGUGACGGUACCUCCGGAGGAAGCCACGGCUAACUACGUG